RNAcentral lists this ribosomal RNA (319 nucleotides) under uncultured eukaryote. RNAcentral's name for it is "partial 18S ribosomal RNA". It matches the Rfam family "Eukaryotic small subunit ribosomal RNA", at positions 1470 to 1796 of the family's 1831-position model. The record is from RNAcentral.
CCCUUAGAUGAUUUGGGCUGCACGCGCGCUACACUGACCCUAACAAUGAGCAACUGUCUGGCCUGAGAUGGCUGGGUAGCCUUUUCAACCCAUGUCAUGAUUGGGCUAGAUUUUUGUAAGUCUUGAUCUCUAACGAGGAAUCCCUAGUAUGUGUGAAUCAUCAAUCCAUGCAGAUUAUGUCCCUGCCCUUUGUACACACCGCCCGUCGCUCCCACUGAUUGGGUGAUCCGGUGAGCUGUUCGGCCAUAGCAAUGUUUCUUGAGCAGGGCAAUGAAUGUUUCGCAAACCUUGCCACUUAGAGGAAGGAGAAGUCGUAACA